This 1920-nucleotide long non-coding RNA is filed under the name Eucalyptus grandis. Its description in RNAcentral is "long non-coding RNA (EGRA_LNC000852)". Lineage: Eukaryota; Viridiplantae; Streptophyta; Magnoliopsida; Myrtales; Myrtaceae. The record is from RNAcentral.
GAAACUCCAAUCACCAUAAAUCAUUGAGACUCUCAUUUUUGUUCUGAGAUAUAUUUGGUUUGAUGGCUUUAGGGUAAGGUGCGAAGGUGAUCCUUGAAUUGUACUGUCUUUCAAGACUUGAACACAAGUUGAUCUACUUCUAGGCGACUUCUUCUCAAAUACUAAGACCCAUCAUAGUAAUUUCAUCUCUGCAUCGCUUCUCAAGGUAAGCCAAACCUUCAUUCUCCUAUCUAUUACAAUUGAUAGGACUAAAAUAUAUUCGAUUAUUACUCAUGGCCUGAUGCCUAACAUCCUUGAAGGCAUACAAAAUAUUUCUUGUGAAAUUCCCUUGAUUUUUUUUUCAAAAUCAUCAUCACAUAUAUUGCUAAUUUUUCUUAUUAAAAUCUUCUCAUUUAAAUUAAUUGGUUAUUUUGAACCAAAAAAAAAAAAAAAACUUUAUGAAUGGUUAGACCGGUUGACUCUGGUGGAAUCACAUGCUAGCCUUAUCUUGACGUUGUUUUCAAAACACAAAACAUUAAUGGUUAACUGAACUCUUGGGACAAAAAAGCCUACUUGAUAAAAAUUGUGAAAAUACCCUUCUAGACUCAAUUUUGGUCCAUUGGCCUUAUACAUACAACAAUUGUCCAAAAUUACUUAAAGCAUGAAAGAUCCAAAUACUCAGUUUUUGUGAAAAUAUUUCUUUUUUUCUUGAAAAUAGUUAAAAAAACUAUAUUUUUCCGAAUAUUGAUGGUGCUAGUCUAUUUCCUUCUAUAAUCGUACAAAAACUUUCACAGGCUACAGAUGAGAAUUAUCAACAACAAUUUUUUUUUCGAACAGGUCAGAUCAACCAGAAAAUUUUUGGAUGUCCAUAAUACCAUUUUUCAUUUUAUCGGCAAUUUUCUUAAUUUCUAGAAAAAUGACAGAAAAUUCAAAUGUCUUCCGGAAAUUAUGAAAAAAUCACAAUCAUAGGGGGUUGUUGUGCUGGUUAAAAUGGAAAGCUUGAAAGUGAGCAAAGCUGCUGCUUUCAACAUACUUACGCAUAUUUAAUAUGUGGACAAUUUUUAGGUGGACUUUAUCUUUGUGGAUUGAAUUAGAGAAACUCAUGAUAAAGUGUGGUUUUCAUGCGAUUUUACUGCUUAGAGCAAAGACAUGACUUUUAUAUAUAUAGCGUAGGAAAUUACCAACUUACAAUGGAUUUGACAAUAUGAUUUAUGCAUGUUUAGGGUGGGAGGAGAAUUUAGCAUUUGUAGGAGUAAGAACAUCUUUGAAAAUAAUAUAAUGGAAGAUUCAUACGUCGGUUAGAGCCACAUUUAUCAGUUUAACAAAAUGGCUUCUAAGUAGAUAUGAACAGAAGCGGUCAUUCUAUUCUUACCUUUUACUAUAAAAAAAGAAGAAGCGGUCAUUCUGUACUCUGGUCUGAAUUGUGUGGCUUGACUUGGCUUGCCACCUGAACAAUUUUAUUGCUUCUAGUCUAUCAGCCAUAUGAGGAUAUCGGUCCAUCAAUUAUAAUUUGAGACUAUCGCCUACUACUAAUUGGUCCUCUCUCUCUCUCUCUCUCGUUUCUCUCUUUAUCAUUCGCAUUCGGCCUCUCUCUUGCAGAACAAUUCGAGGCUAUUGUCUACUGAUUAGUCCUCACUCGCUUCCUCUAUUCUUUAUCCAUCUUGAAAGUUCUCGCCCAAGCUUGUUUACAGUCUCCUCUCUCUUCGGUCUCGUGCCUCUCUUAGCAUCUCAGCUCGCUUGUGGUAAUCACUUUUUCAUUCUUAUUAGCAUCCCAUUUAUUUUGAUUUUGUCACUUUAUUAUUGGAAUAAUUGGCUGAACUAAGUGUGCUCUGGGCCCUUUUUGUCUAUUGGGGUUGUGGGGGUGGUUGUUGAAUAGCAGAGGAGGGUCUUCUAUUCUCUCUUUUGGAGUCGCUGUUGCCUAUUGACGAGGUAUGUCCCCAG